Small nuclear RNA from Hyaena hyaena (striped hyena), 107 nucleotides. Lineage: Eukaryota; Metazoa; Chordata; Mammalia; Carnivora; Hyaenidae. The record is from RefSeq and is a predicted model, not a curated record.
GUGCUCGCUUUGGUAGCACAUGUACUAAAAUUGGAAUGCUACAGAGAAGAUUAGCAUGGCCCCUGUGCAAGGAUGACACACAUAUUUAUGAAGUAUUACAUAUUUUA